GGUGGUUCUCGGGUGAUGCACCCCAGAAUCAGGCUCCCUCCUCUCUGGUUCUGGGUGUGUCACCUGAGAACCACA
Molecule: non-coding RNA, 75 nt
Organism: Myotis davidii
Lineage: Eukaryota; Metazoa; Chordata; Mammalia; Chiroptera; Vespertilionidae
Source: Rfam